GUGGCGCGUCUUUCCCAGGGAAACGUCUUUUUGUCAACAUUUUAUUGUCUCCUGCUGUGCAUAGUUUGACCAUCAGAUGGCGUUAGGGUGAAGCAGCAGCCAGUCAGACAGACAUGAGAAGAAGCCAGAGAAGUGAGCGAGUCCUCUGCAGCCUCCGUCCGUCAUUGUUUCCAAUGCUGGAGGAGGAGGAGGACUCUGUAAUGUUCUGCACUGUGGAGGUCAAGUCCAUGUCACUGCAGACAGUUCAGAGGUGAGACAACAUUUUUAUGGCCAUCCAUCAAAGUUGCAGACCACACACCCCAGGAAAUCAUGUUCCCCUAAACAAGACAACUUCUGCAGAAAAAGGGACCUUCUCUGGCAUAAACAAUCUCAGGACCAGUAGUACUCAUGGAGACCAAAACCUAGUCCUGAUAAGGUGGAACUUAAUUUUUGAGGACCUGGUUAAGAUCAGGGCCAAGAUUCGAAUUGUGGUUAAGGUAAGGGAUAACCCUUUGUUUAGGUUGUCAAAAUGAAUGGAAAUCAAUGCAGUGUCCGAAGAAGAAUAGCUGCGCAAACCUGCGUAUAUGUGUGUGUUUAUGUGUGGCGGAGAUGCUGGAGGCCAAAGCGGACCUAAACAGCAAAAUAAAUAAUAGAGCCUGAGAAACAAAUCAUGAUCACUGGCCAUCAGCUUAGUCUGA
Solea solea (common sole) is the source of this 677-nucleotide long non-coding RNA. RefSeq lists it as uncharacterized. The transcript is spliced from 4 exons. The record is from RefSeq and is a predicted model, not a curated record. NCBI's taxonomy places the organism in Eukaryota, Metazoa, Chordata, Actinopteri, Pleuronectiformes, Soleidae.